Molecule: long non-coding RNA, 1500 nt
Organism: Vespa crabro (European hornet)
Lineage: Eukaryota; Metazoa; Arthropoda; Insecta; Hymenoptera; Vespidae
Exons: 3
Source: RefSeq, a predicted model, not a curated record
UUAAAAAAACGGGAAGAUCUUCUAAAGUCGUCUAUCCGUUCGUAUAUUCUGUUCAGCUUUUAAUACGUCGGAUAAUUUUGACAUCGCUUUUCUAACAUUUUCGAAGAAUUUCUUUCCUUUUUUUUCUUGCUUUUCUUUCCUCAGGAUAAUAAAAUUACACGAAUCCUCAUUACGCCCUGUAUGUCUGCAUAUCGUCCAAAGAAAUUCUUUGGAGGGUAGAUUCGUAUAUAGGUAGAUAAAGAAAGAGAGGGAGAGAGAGGGAAAGAAGAAAAUGGGAGAAAGCCCGGAGCUAAUGGAAAAUGGUGUCUGACUAUAGCCCGUCCUGUACUACUUAAACCGGCAGAUGUUCCACUAGUACCAGGCGCGAGAUUAUCGAAACUCAAAUUUACGUUUAUUCUAUACAAACUUCUUUUUUUUUUAUCAACAAUAAUAUUUUCCCCGUUGUUUGCUCGUUUCUAUUCGAAUGUAAUAAUUCAUUUCUUAUAUAAUAGGAGAAGUAUAGUGAAAUUGAAAAAAAAUUACGUCUCGAAAAGUACGAACGUAAGGAAAUUUGAAAGUUUUUAUUCUCUGAGCUUUGGAUAUAGGUGUGUGUGUCUACAUAUAUAUAUAUAUAUAUAUAUAUAGAAAAAGAAAAAGGAAAAAAGAAUUAGCCUCAAACUUUAUUUAAGAAAGAAAGAAUUUUUGAUUCGGAAAACGUUGAAUAUAUUUCACGCGUAACUUUCCAAGAUGGUACGAUUUUACAAGGUUGACUUAAUAUGUGUUUUCUCUCUCUUUUUAUCUUUCUCUCUCUCUCUCUCUCUCUCUUCCUUUUUCCCUUUCUCUCUUUCUCUCUCUCCCUCUCUCUCUUUUUCUCUCUCGAUGAAUUCCAAAGACCACGACGUCGAGGAACACUGUAAAAUUUGCUGAGGGUGACUAGGAGGGACGUAACCAUAGCAAUGAGUGACCGAGGUAGGGGGGAGAGAGAGGGAAAGAGAGAUGUCCAUUGAUUUUCAGUGCCAUCUUGUCGCCGCUUCUGGGAGAAGUACCGCUUUUAGGGUGUACAUGGCGUAAAGGGCUGCACACACGCCCACCUUGCAUUUAUAAGUCAUUCAAACGAGAGAAUUUCGUAGAAGGUUGCGAUAAGUAGCGGGAACGAACGUACGAAUCGGCCAUUACUUUUAUUACCUUUAUCUAUCUUUACGGCGAGUGUCCAAGGAAAUUUUUUAUUUCAUUUUUUAAACAUUCAUUUGACUGAUGCAAAAGGAGAAACUUCAAUAUAUUCGUCUAUUACGUUUGGUAACGCAACGAUGUCAGAGAGGGUCUUCUAGUUCGAGAAUAAUAAAUAUUCGAAGUUACUGGAAAAGCAUGUCACUCUUAUAUAGUAACGAUCGGGAGGAAGUAAUCGGCAAAGGGGAGGAUCAAAGAAAGAAAAAAAAAAAAAGAAAAAAAGAAAAUCGACGGAAAAUUGAAGGAAAAAGGGAAACGUCAAAACUCACCUUGGAGAUUAAUCGCAGAAGGAAA